AAGGAGGCGAAAAGUUAAGGGAAAGAUAAUAGCCAAAUCUCCUUUUCCCCAAACCGCAUUUUUCGCCAUUGUUGGUGUUGAAUCUGCUUGGCAAACUGGAGAUCGAACGUACCAUACAGAGAGGGUUUUCGGCCUUCCGCCGAUUAAUCUGAAGCUUUCAAUCGCGAGUUCAACCCCAACAGAUCUCAUGGAAAUCCCCUCUAUUCCUGAGGAUCUCAACGGCUAACGUAGGAACCUUCCAUUAUAUAAUGUCAUAGGCUAUCAUAAGAUCUGUUCAGGUGAAGAGGUUGAGCUCACCGCCGAAGACCAGGCACGUUGCCAACAACUCAAUUGGGAUUUGCUUGAAAUGCAGUGAAUGUUGCAACGUCUUACCUCGCUGACAAUAGCCGUUUCCGCCGGGGUGGCGACUGCGAAGAUGAUGAAUCCGAAAGAGACCCGGUGAGCUCUCACUGUUGAGAUAUCACACGAAGACCAG
RNAcentral lists this small RNA (475 nucleotides) under Histoplasma capsulatum var. duboisii H88. RNAcentral's name for it is "Histoplasma capsulatum H88 hypothetical RNA". The record is from RNAcentral. Lineage: Eukaryota; Fungi; Ascomycota; Eurotiomycetes; Onygenales; Ajellomycetaceae.